UAAGUGCGAGGUUUUCUCGGCACAGCCGUCGAUUUGCAUAUCUCCUUCGAACUCCUAGUGGCGUGAUUAUGAAUUUUUCAUGGAUCCUUGUCAUGAUCCAUGAAAAAUUCUACCAAAGCAGCAAUGUUGUGUUGCAUUUGACUUUUUCUGUAACAACAAAUCUGUUAAUUUGAUACGAUUCUAGCGAUCUGGCAACAUUUUUUCAAUAAGAACCCAUCCUUCCUCAACAUUUUAUUAGCGUGCAUCGGAUAAGCAGGAAAAAUCCCUGACUGGAAAAACAAUCAUCGGAAGUAUCUGCUCGACGAGCCGAAAUCUUACGGAAUCGGACUAUAUUCGGAUGGAAUUUCCGACUGGACAUUGUUUUGCCUUUUUGAUAUGAAAAAGUUGGCAGCAAUCUCAACGGAAAAGUUUGACAAGACGUCAUUCAAAGUUCCGGUGAAAAAGGUGGUGGACGCUGCGCGAAGAGUUUUCGCAAUAAAUUUAAAAAGUGGCCAGUUAAAAGUGUGGGCCGUCUUCAAAGUCCCAAAAAGGGGAACUCGGUGCUCCACGGAGUCAAGAGGCAUCCCGGCUGGAAAUCCGACCAAAAGCGGCUAGGCUAGUAGCUCAGGACAACGAGACGGGUCAAUAGAAAGGCCAAACGACCACACAGUCUCCGAAUACUAAAGCCAAGCGCUCGUCCGGGUCGCAGCCACGUUCUGCAAAAUCGAGAUAACGGAGAAGGGGUCGGAAAUCCGACCCCUUUUUUCCUUUUUGGCAAAUUCUUCUUCUUUUGGCCAACUCUACAGGGCCUAGUAGGUGACAAAGCCUUCGCCACGUGGCCUCCACACCUUCCACACAUCAACCACCAUUCAUCUGGCGAGCCCAGCUGCACAACAUCCUCACCGGAACAGGCUGCACAGCUACAAGGGCCGCAUUCAAGAUUCCGGUCACUUCCGUCUCGCUACUUCAGUGGCGACGAAUUCCGGGAAACAGCAGCCGAAUUCGAGCGGGUUCAUUCGCCGCUCAAGUGGCGGAAUCGCGGUUAUUCAGCCUGCCGAAUCCAAGCGCAGCAGAUCGCUGAACGUGAGGUAAGAAUCCCGCCAAGUCUGCCGAAUCCGAUCACCGCAUCCGUGGUGGAAGUCCGGCAAUUCAGCGACCGAAUCUGAAGGAAUCCCGAACGCCGCACCAGUGGCGUGAGAUCCGGUGGAACCUCCGCCGAAACUAAGCGCUUCAGGUCGCCGCACCAGUGGCGAGUAAUCCCGGAGACGAUUGCCGAAUUCACCUGCCAUCGAUCGUCGAUCCGGUGGAAAAUCGCGGCGAAUCGGUGCGAUUAGGAUCGCUCUUCAUCGCCGCAUCCGAGACGAGGAUCAUCUGGUGGGACAGCAGCCAAUCGGGUUCGCUUUCGUCGCCGCACUAGUGGCGAAAGAAUACCGGCGGUAUUGCAGCCGAACCGAAGCGAAUUUCGUCGCUGCGGCAGGGGCCAACAUUAACGCCGCACUGGUGGCGUAGAAAUCCCGACGAAUUAGGGCCAAAUUCAUUCGCUUUCGUCGCCGCACCGGUGGCGAAGUAUCCUGGGGCACUGCUGCCGAGCAGGACCAAGUUUUAUCGCCGCAGCAGGGGCAAGCAUUUGGUGGCACAGCCGCCGACAAGUUUCGCUCGUCGUCGCCGCACCAGUGGCGAAAGAAUCCUGGGGUACCGCGGUCGAUCCGGACCGAAGUUCCUUGGCUCAUCAGGGGCGAACAUCCGCCGAAUCCGAGGGCGUUCAAUCGUCGCAUAGUGGCGAAUAUCCGGUGGGCCGCGUCAGGGGCAAAUAGUCGGCAGCACAGCCGCCGCAUCUGUGGCGAGAAUCCCGGUGGACAGGUGCCGAAUCAGAGGGCAGCAGAUCGCCGCACCCGUGGCGAAAU
Long non-coding RNA from Uranotaenia lowii, 1883 nucleotides. RefSeq lists it as uncharacterized. NCBI's taxonomy places the organism in Eukaryota, Metazoa, Arthropoda, Insecta, Diptera, Culicidae. The transcript is spliced from 4 exons. The record is from RefSeq and is a predicted model, not a curated record.